RNAcentral lists this ribozyme (67 nucleotides) under unclassified sequences. RNAcentral describes it as "pistol ribozyme". It matches the Rfam family "Pistol ribozyme". The record is from RNAcentral.
AGCCGACUGAGCGGCUAUAAAAAGGCGUUAGGCUCAGUGCGUGGGGCCCUUCGGGGUCCCGGUCGCA